RNAcentral lists this ribosomal RNA (400 nucleotides) under uncultured bacterium. RNAcentral describes it as "bacterial SSU rRNA". It matches the Rfam family "Bacterial small subunit ribosomal RNA", at positions 360 to 772 of the family's 1533-position model. The record is from RNAcentral.
AAUCUUCCACAAUGGGGGCAACCCUGAAGCAGCGACGCCGCGUGAGGGAUGACGGCCUUCGGGUUGUAAACCUCUUUCAGCAGGGACGAAGCGAAAGUGACGGUACCUGCAGAAGAAGCACCGGCCAACUACGUGCCAGCAGCCGCGGUAAUACGUAGGGGGCAAGCGUUGUCCGGAUUUAUUGGGCGUAAAGCGCUCGCAGGUGGUGCGCUGCGUCGUGCGUGAAAGACCCCGGCUCAACUGGGGGAUGUCGUGCGAUACGGGCGGACUGGAGGCCAGUAGGGGGAUGCGGAAUUCCGGGUGUAGUGGUGGAAUGCGUAGAGAUCCGGAGGAACACCAGCGGCGAAGGCGGCAUCCUGGACUGGUCCUGACACUCAGGAGCGAAAGCGUGGGGAGCGAU